Molecule: long non-coding RNA, 1251 nt
Filed under: Sander lucioperca (pikeperch)
Lineage: Eukaryota; Metazoa; Chordata; Actinopteri; Perciformes; Percidae
Description: lncRNA (ENSSLUG00000006746.1)
Source: RNAcentral
CCUCCUCUGCACUCCGAGCCCAGUCACUCUGUCUGGGGGCUGACCACUUACUCAGUGUGAGUGCUUGAGUGAUUAACAGAGCACCCAUCAUGGAGGGCACACACACCGUGCUGAUCCUAUAUGCACCCAUCCAUGAGCUAAGCAACAUCAGCCUGUAUUUCCCCAAGAGGCGGGCCCCGAGCUUUAAGUACAAGAGCCGCGCCCCUCAUUCAGAAAGGGUCGGUAAUGACCAUGACCGGGGAAAUGAGGAUCUCGCAGUGUCCGAACAAAGAGGCCAGUCUUCCUGCUCCUCAGACAAACUCCUCAUCUCCCAGCAGGCAACAAAGGAGGCAGUUGCAGAGCUCUGCUGGCUGGCGGCGGAGCACCACCAGUUGCUGGUGGAUCUUUUAUCACUGUGUAGGGAUUGCGCCAUCAAAGUUAGGAUGGGUAACCAGGAUGGGAAAGUCCAGGAUUACAUGGAGGGUCAGGAAGUUCACCUUGGAGGUCAGGGUCUCAUCAGCAACAACUAUUCUCUCACUGUAUCUCCCGAGCACAAGAGGGCAGCGGCAUCCAAGAGCAAAAAGCUGAAGAAGUUGGGAGGCAAGAAGCUUGACAGCGCAGAGGAUUUGCUGCACAGUAAAAUGAAAAAGAAAGUUACCAGUGGAACUUCAUCUACUCAGCUUCCUGUUCUCAACAGUGCGCCCAUAUCUUCAGCCUCAGUAAUGCAGCAGAUUCCAGGUGGUUACCUAGCCUUUGGCCAUGUCACCGACAGCCCAGUCACCGGCUCUUAUGUCAGUGCAGUCAGUAAUCCCAUCCUGCCCAUGGAGGAACCCUUCCAGAUCGGUCAUGAGGGCUGGGACUUCAUGGAGGAUAACCGGCCAUUUGACCCUUACAUUGAUUUCUGCAAUGACUUCUCAGAGUAUGAUGGUGAGCUGGGUUAUGAGUCGUCAUUCUGCAACCUGAUGGAGGGUCUGACCAGACGGGAAAGUGGGAGCAACCUUCGACCAAUUAAGAGGUCUGAUUCCUUGGGUGACACAGUAUCUGAGAAUGCAUCAACAGUCAAGUCUGCUCAGCAGCUGUAUGGUAAAACCAACCAGAGUAAUACAGGGGUCAGGGUGGUGGCCAAAGUACAAGAUGUGGAAGGGAGAGUGCAACAUGUCAACCAUACAUGCUCAGACAGGGCAGGGCCAGCCAUGCUACAUCCAGGGACUAACAGCUGCCAGCAUGGGUUUGGAGAGUGGAAAGGACCAAACAGAGAGCACCUGCUGGAAG